AACCAGCACCUCAAGUGGUCAGGAUGAUUAUUGGGCCUAAAGCAUCCGUAGCCGGCUUUGUAAGUUUUCGGUUAAAUCCAUGCGCUCAACGUAUGGGCUGCCGGGAAUACUGCAAAGCUAGGGAGUGGGAGAGGUAGACGGUACUCGGUAGGAAGGGGUAAAAUCCUUUGAUCUAUUGAUGACCACCUGUGGCGAAGGCGGUCUACCAGAACACGUCCGACGGUGAGGGAUGAAAGCUGGGGGAGCAAACCGGAUUAGAUACCCGGGUAGUCCCAGCUGUAAACUAUGCAAACUCAGUGAUGCAUUGGCUUGAUGCCAAUGCAGUGCUGCAGGGAAGCCGUUAAGUUUGCCGCCUGGGAAGUACGUACGCAAGUAUGAAACUUAAAGGAAUUGGCGGGGGAGCACCACAAGGGGUGAAGCCUGCGGUUCAAUUGGAGUCAACGCCAGAAAUCUUACCCGGAGAGACAGCAGAAUGAAGGUCAAGCUGAAGACUUUACCAGACAAGCUGAGAGGUGGUGCAUGGCCGUCGCCAGCUCGUGCCGUGAGAUGUCCUGUUAAGUCAGGUAACGAGCGAGAUCCCUGCCUCUAGUUGCCACCACUACUCUCAGGAGUAGUGGGGCGAAUUAGCGGGACCGCCGUAGUUAAUACGGAGGAAGGAAGGGGCCACGGCAGGUCAGUAUGCCCCGAAACUCUGGGGCCACACGCGGGCUGCAAUGGUAACGACAAUGUGUUCCGAAUCCGAAAGGAGGAGGUAAUCCUCAAACGUUACCACAGUUAUGACUGAGGGCUGCAACUCGCCCUCACGAAUAUGGAAUCCCUAGUAACUGCGUGUCACUAUCGCGCGGUGAAUACGUCCCUGCUCCU
This 864-nucleotide ribosomal RNA is filed under the name uncultured archaeon. Its description in RNAcentral is "SSU rRNA". It matches the Rfam family "Archaeal small subunit ribosomal RNA", at positions 474 to 1337 of the family's 1478-position model. The record is from RNAcentral.